CUGAGACGGUGCCGCAGGGAAGCCGUUCAUGCUGCCCUCAGCCAGGUUCUGGGGAGGCUCCUGUGUCAGGCCACCCUGAGACUGGUAGAAAGUUGGGUACCCAUGGCCUCCAAAUUGGGAAGGCUGCGGCUGCUGCGCCUGGCGAAAGCCACCCAGCUGACUCUGUCCCUGGAAGCCAUAAAAGUGGCCUUGCGGAAGUGCUGACGUGGCUCUUGAACCAGAGCCAUGAAGCCACAUUGCAGAGUUGUCACCCUGAAAGAGAUAACAACAAAUCAACAUUUCUGUAAAAACCUUCAUCAAGAAAUAGAGAUGACAUUUUAGGGCAGAUACAGAUGAGAUGACAAUAAUUGGGAAGAGGACAAAAGGUUAGCCAAGGUUACAGGGGUAACAGUAUGCGAUCAUUACCUGCUGUGGAGCCAUGUACUGACUGGUAUCUUUGUACUGUCUGCUCAAUGCUUCAUCAAACCCGAGAGUUGAUGCAGAGCCAGUACUCUGAUUAAGGGCAAAAUUUCCUGGAAGAUUACUUGAGUUUCCAAAGCCUCCAUAACCAGAGAUAACCGAAGAAGGCGGUGGUUGUUGUUGCGGUUGCUGUUGCAGGCCUGUAGCAGACAGGUUGUUCUUAUACUCUGGUGUCGAGUACUUCAAACCAGAUCCGAGCAAAGCAGCCGCAGACUGAUGGAACUGUGCAUUACUCGGGUAUGGUUGCUGGAAGGCGCCUGAAGAUAGGUAAGUAGCAUAGUUCUGUGGCAAAUAUGUCGGAUAACCAAACAUAUUUGCAAAAUGUGUGAGGGGUAAUGUUGGCUGAGAGUAAGGGUGAGCAGCUAAUUGCUGAGGGAGAGGAGGCCCUGUC
RNAcentral lists this long non-coding RNA (850 nucleotides) under Setaria viridis. Its description in RNAcentral is "long non-coding RNA (SVIR_LNC002656)". The record is from RNAcentral. Lineage: Eukaryota; Viridiplantae; Streptophyta; Magnoliopsida; Poales; Poaceae.